GGCUAGGGCAGCAGAUAAAAGUGGAUUUUAUGGCCUUCCAAUCAGAGGGAGCCGAAUUUCAUUCGAGCAGGUGGGAUGCGAUGUCUUUCAGUUUUCUCUUUUAAAACCGGGGGGAAGCACUUAGAUGUUGAGGCUAGUUCAUCAGGCUUUAGGAGGCUGUUUUAUUAGUCACUUACAGCCAACGUUUUCCCCUUUACAGAUGGUUUCCCUAUUGCAACAAAAAUCCCUGUCUUGGCUCAGUGCCACCCUGAGCCUUGGAAGGCCAGGUGGGAGGCAGGGAGCUGGCAGCAUCUCAGUCCAAGUCAGGAAUGAAAGAAUUCACAAAGGUGCCAGACUUAGAGAGUUAGUCACUUGGAACAUUCCAGAAAGGCUGUCUAUGACUGCUGGGUCUCAGAAGAUACCACCAGUGUGGGAAGAGUGACCCAAUAAGAGGACCCUCUCCACUCCUCCUGGAGCCCUAACUCUCCACUCUCUAAAUGGUGUCACCAGCCUGGUGACCUCCAUGCUCGUCCGUGCAGGUCUAGAUUGUGCACCCCCGAGGCUCCAGCAAUUAUGUCCCCCAGCACCCCCACAUGAUGGCCACCAUGAAGGGCAUGGUGAAGAGAGGCUGAGACCACAGCAGGAUGCUGGAUGUCAAGUGAGCGGCGAUUGCAAAUGAGGCCCUGUGAACGUGGAAGCCGGGCAAUCCAUGGUGAAGGCCGCUGCAGCUGGCAUGCAAGCUGUGUGUGAGUGACCUGGCCCAGAGGCAGCUGCAGCCCUGUGGGAUUUGCCUCACCCUGUUUAAUGUUCCCCUUCCUCGGCCAUAAUGGUGGACGGUGGGAAAAGCAGGUUUCAUGCUGAAAAAGAUCCAUUUUCGAAACCGGGCUCCUAUCUCAUAAGAUGCCUGAUAGUCUCCCCUCAUCUGUAGACUAAGGAUAGCCUGGGGUAUCUGCAGCGCAGUCCACUGGUCUGGGACAGCAGCAUGAGAAGAAAGCACGUGCAGUUCCAGGCACUGGGGGUGCACCAUGCAGCACCCGGCUAUCCUUAAAGAUGAUCAUGGCACGUGCAUCCCAGGCACGCUGAUGUAGGCAGGUAUCAACGCCAUGUCAGGUUUGUCUUGGUCUUCAAAGAAAGCAGAAAAACAAAGUUUCAGAAACUCAGCCAGAGUUUCACCGGUGAGAUGCUGUCCCCUAGUUGGAAAAACACAUGGCAGCAGUCACGGAAUUAGCUACUAUUUAUCGGGCAGGUGCUCCGUGUUUCACUUGCAUCUUAAGGUAGUGCUUUUUUUCCCCACACGGACAGGUGCAAGAAUGGAGGCGCAGGGAGCUAAGUGCCUGCCCCAAGCUCACACAGCAACAGUUAUACUGGGAAUUUGAAUCCAGAUCAUCAUAGCCGAUAGUCAGAUUUUUUUUUUAAGAUUUAUUUAUUAUUCGAAAGUCAGA
This 1421-nucleotide long non-coding RNA is filed under the name Oryctolagus cuniculus (rabbit). RNAcentral's name for it is "lncRNA (ENSOCUG00000036848.1)". Lineage: Eukaryota; Metazoa; Chordata; Mammalia; Lagomorpha; Leporidae. The record is from RNAcentral.